Molecule: transfer RNA, 72 nt
Filed under: Fukomys damarensis (Damara mole-rat)
Lineage: Eukaryota; Metazoa; Chordata; Mammalia; Rodentia; Bathyergidae
Rfam family: tRNA
About the family: Transfer RNA (tRNA) molecules are approximately 80 nucleotides in length.
Source: Rfam by way of RNAcentral
UCGGGUGUAGUUCAGUGGUAGAGCACUUGCCUAACUUGUAUGUGGCCCUGGGUUCAAGCCCUAGUACUCCAG